Molecule: ribosomal RNA, 496 nt
Filed under: uncultured bacterium
Lineage: Bacteria
Description: partial 16S ribosomal RNA
Rfam family: Bacterial small subunit ribosomal RNA
Source: RNAcentral
GAUGAACGCUGGCGGCGUGCCUAAUACAUGCCAGUCGAGCGAACAGAUGAGGAGCUUGCUCCUCUGACGUUAGCGGCGGACGGGUGAGUAACACGUGGAUAACCUACCUAUAAGACUGGGAUAACUUCGGGAAACCGGAGCUAAUACCGGAUAAUAUAUUGAACCGCAUGGUUCAAUAGUGAAAGACGGUUUUGCUGUCACUUAUAGAUGGAUCCGCGCCGCAUUAGCUAGUUGGUAAGGUAACGGCUUACCAAGGCAACGAUGCGUAGCCGACCUGAGAGGGUGAUCGGCCACACUGGAACUGAGACACGGUCCAGACUCCUACGGGAGGCAGCAGUAGGGAAUCUUCCGCAAUGGGCGAAAGCCUGACGGAGCAACGCCGCGUGAGUGAUGAAGGUCUUCGGAUCGUAAAACUCUGUUAUUAGGGAAGAACAAAUGUGUAAGUAACUAUGCACGUCUUGACGGUACCUAAUCAGAAAGCCACGGCUAACUACGU